AAAUAACAUGGUAAGAAUGAAAUGGAGCUGAAAAUGAAUUUUGUAAAAUUUGAUAGUUGCAAUUGGAUAGAAAAUGUGAAAUGGUAUGAUUUGUAUUUGAAAUAUUAUUUCAAAACGUUCAAUCACAUUCAUGAAUUUAGUUUUCAUCAAUUGAAUCUACCAAAAAAAGAAAAAAGCCUAGUGGUAGAGGAAAGGAAUGGUACUAGUGGGGACCCUGCCCUCUCCAGCCCUAACAAACUCCCUUCCUAUAUUUUCAUCUAAGCAAUUUCGGGCCCCAAGAAUUGGCUUUGAUAAGUCAAGUUUAUAUUAUUUUCCUUUUUAUAAAUACAAAAUACACUUUUAACUCAAUAAUUGUUCAUAAAGAUUUUCCUCAAAAUUAGUUAAAACUUCUACUCCUUUGUGUUUAUAUUUUCUUAGUACUACAUCUUCAUGUUUAUCAACAAAUGCAACAUAAUCAUCCAUUUGAGUGUUUUACAUGAUCUAGAGAAUUCAUUC
This 495-nucleotide unclassified non-coding RNA is filed under the name Hevea brasiliensis (rubber tree). The record is from RNAcentral. Lineage: Eukaryota; Viridiplantae; Streptophyta; Magnoliopsida; Malpighiales; Euphorbiaceae.